GACGAACGCUGGCGGCGUGCUUAACACAUGCAAGUCGAACGGAAAGGCCCUGCUUUUGUGGGGUGCUCGAGUGGCGAACGGGUGAGUAACACGUGAGUAACCUGCCCUUGACUUUGGGAUAACUUCAGGAAACUGGGGCUAAUACCGGAUAGGAGCUCCUGCUGCAUGGUGGGGGUUGGAAAGUUUCGGCGGUUGGGGAUGGACUCGCGGCUUAUCAGCUUGUUGGUGGGGUAGUGGCUUACCAAGGCUUUGACGGGUAGCCGGCCUGAGAGGGUGACCGGCCACAUUGGGACUGAGAUACGGCCCAGACUCCUACGGGAGGCAGCAGUGGGGAAUAUUGCACAAUGGGCGGGAGCCUGAUGCAGCAACGCCGCGUGCGGGAUAACGGCCUUCGGGUUGUAAACCGCUUUCGCCUGUGACGAAGCGUGAGUGACGGUAAUGGGUAAAGAAGCACCGGCUAACUACGUG
This 468-nucleotide ribosomal RNA is filed under the name uncultured bacterium. RNAcentral's name for it is "partial 16S ribosomal RNA". It matches the Rfam family "Bacterial small subunit ribosomal RNA", at positions 28 to 507 of the family's 1533-position model. The record is from RNAcentral.